Non-coding RNA from Pangasianodon hypophthalmus (striped catfish), 336 nucleotides. NCBI's taxonomy places the organism in Eukaryota, Metazoa, Chordata, Actinopteri, Siluriformes, Pangasiidae. The record is from the annotation of a RefSeq genome assembly.
AUGUUCACUGUUAUAUUCAUGUGUCUGUGGCUUUCACUAGGUGACUCCAUGGCAGAUUCAAUACAGCCACUUUCCCCUCGUGAAGUUGUAGAUGAAGGUGUUAAUGUUACUCUGUCCUGCAAAUACGAAAUCAAAAGUGCUACAGGAAACAACCUGCAGUGGUACAGACAAUAUCUAAAAUCUAAACCCGAGUUUGUUCUCUAUAUUACUCCAAGUGGAACUCUGAGUCCCAACCCUCCCCCAAGAAUGUCUGCUAAAGUUCCUGGAGAUAAACGAGUGGAUCUGCUCAUCUCCUCUGCUGCUGUAUCAGACUCUGCACUAUACUACUGUGCUCUG